Molecule: ribosomal RNA, 497 nt
Filed under: uncultured bacterium
Lineage: Bacteria
Description: partial 16S ribosomal RNA
Rfam family: Bacterial small subunit ribosomal RNA
Source: RNAcentral
GAUGAACGCUGGCGGCGUGCCUAAUACAUGCAAGUCGAGCGAACGGACGAGAAGCUUGCUUCUCUGAUGUUAGCGGCGGACGGGUGAGUAACACGUGGAUAACCUCCCUAUAAGACUGGGAUAACUUCGGGAAACCGGAGCUAGUACCGGAUAAUAUUUUGAACCGCAUGGUUCAAAAGUGAAAGACGGUCUUGCUGUCACUUAUAGAUGGAUCCGCGCUGCAUUAGCUAGUUGGUAAGGUAACGGCUUACCAAGGCAACGAUGCAUAGCCGACCUGAGAGGGUGAUCGGCCACACUGGAACUGAGACGCGGUCCAGACUCCUACGGGAGGCAGCAGUAGGGAAUCUUCCGUAAUGGGCGAAAGCCUGACGGAGCAACGCCGCGUGAGUGAUGAAGGUCUUCGGAUCGUAAAACUCUGUUAUUAGGGAAGAACAUAUGUGUAAGUAACUGUGCACAUCUUGACGGUACCUAAUCAGAAAGCCACGGCUAACUACGUG